AUCUGGAGUCAAGUUCCCUGCAUUCAAAUCCUGACACUCUUGAAAACUUUGUGACAUUCAGACACUUACUCAACUUCGUUCUCAUGUUUAUGUGUGUGGAAACCCUAUCCUAGAAUUAAUUAUGAUGAUGAUACUUAUACCUGUGAAUUUACUAAAAACAUUGCAUUGGGCACUUCAAAUGGCCGAAUUGUAUGUUGUACUUCAGCUUCUGGAGAACAUGGACAGAUCAUGCAGGGUCAGUUUCAUUGAAGGAGCAACCUUUAUUCUUGACAGUCUCACUGCUCCUCCUGUACUUGACCUGCUAACUCCCACAGCUGUGCCCAUUCAUGGUUUCUGUCUUAACAUUUAUUGUUAAUACUCAACUUGUAAAUCUUAGUGCCCACGUUCUAAGAUUUUUUUUUUCUGUUCUAGUUGUCCCAACUCGACUAUAUUUUUCCUUUCUUGGUAAUGUGCCAGUCAUACAGUUACUUGAUUAAGAUACCUGACAGAUUUGCUCAAUAUCUCAGUCCUCAUGUACAGUUUGCUGAAGAGUGUGAAGGACGAAAUUGGAGUCUUCUUGUAACAUGAGUGUGGUCAGGGGAUUGAGGACCAUAGAUUCUAAUACAUACAGUAUCAAGUGUUAUGCUUACACAUUAAACUAGAAAUUUCAUGCUGAUUUACUUUUAUUGAUAUGCUUAGGCACCAUUUGAAGAGCUUAUAUUAGUGUUUUUCAUAUAUUAUAAAGUAUAAAGAAUAUAUUAUCAAAUCAUACUUGUUAUUUUCCAAAUUUUCAACUUUAGACUUUCAGCUAAAAAUAAGUUAUUAAAUUGGUUAGGAGAAAAAUAAUUCUGAUUUGGUUGUUUCAACAUUGGAAAGUUACUAAAAAUUAUUAAAUAGUUCCUUACCUGGUUGCAUAAAAUAAGAUUUUCUUGGUAGCUUAGGGAAAUAAUAAUGAAUGUAUAAUACUUUAAUUGGUUGAACCCAUACAUAUCAUUGCAUAGUUAUUUUCCCUUUGACUAAAUUUACCCUUUUUUAUUCAUUCAUUUAGUUAUUCAUUUAUUCAAUCAGUCAGUUCAUAGAGGGCUACUAAGCUUUGAAAAUGUGCAAAGCACUCUGAUACAUGUGAACAGAUCAUGGCCGCUGUGCCUGAGCUUGAGGGCUGAAUAAUUAGUGAAAGUAAUGUGCUAAAUUCUAAAAUAGAAUUUUGCAUUAAGUAUAAUAAAGACGGACCUGUCAUUUUCUCAGGCAUUCAGUAAGAUUCUAUAGUGCCAUUUCCAAAAAUGCAAGUUAGUUCAGUGUGGUUGUUUAUUCUGAUGUCAACUUGACUGGAUUGAGGGAUGCACAGAUAAGUAAUAGGGUAUCAUUUAUUCUCAAUUAUUGCGUUAGUUAUUCUCAAUGUUUCAGCAGGCAGCGAACCUAUUUAUCAUUCACUGAAAGGGAAAUUUUGGUGGUUUGGCAUUUGAUUAGAAGGAUUAAACUUCCCUGGGUGUGUCUGUGAAGGUAUUUCUGGAGGAGCUUUCAAUGUGAGCUUGUGCAUACAAUUGGAUGGGGACCUGGAUGGAACAAAAAAAAAAAAAAAAAAAGAAGGAAGAGUGAAUUAUUUAUUUUUUGCUGAUACAUAACAGUUGUACAAAUUUAUGCAGUACAUGCCACAUUUUAAUACAAGCAUACAAUAUGUAAUAAUCAAGUCAGGGUAAUGAAGGUAUCCAGCACCUCAAGUAUUAAUCAUUUCUUUGAGUUUGGAACAUUCUAAUUCCUCUAGUUAUUUUGAAAUAUAGAAUAAAUUGUUGCUGACUGUUGCCACCCUGUUAUGCUGCUAACUGUAUUUUCAUGCCUGUUAACAAUCUCUAUAUUGUCCCCACCUCCCACUACCCUUCUCAGGCUCUGGUAACCAUCUCUCUAGGAUCUGUCUCCAUGAGAUAGUUAUUAAGCUCCCACAAAUGAGCAAAAACAUGAUAAUUUGUCUUUCUGCACCUGGUUUAUUCCACUUAACAUAAUGUCCUCCAGUUCCUCAGUGUUGUUGCAAAUGACAGAUUUUCUUAAUUUUUAUGGCUGAAUACUAUUCCCUUGUGUGUAUGUACCACAUUGUCUUUAUCCAUUCAUCUAUUGAUCCCCUAUCUUGGCUUUUGUGAAUAGCAUUAAAAUAAACAUAGGCAUGCAGAUGUUUUCAAUAUACUGAUGUUCUUUGUUUUGGAUAUAUGCUCAGCAGUGGGAUUGCUGGAUUAUAUACUAGU
Long non-coding RNA from Callithrix jacchus (white-tufted-ear marmoset), 2213 nucleotides. Lineage: Eukaryota; Metazoa; Chordata; Mammalia; Primates; Cebidae. The record is from Ensembl.